RNAcentral lists this ribosomal RNA (657 nucleotides) under Rhodospirillaceae bacterium CNJ-328. Its description in RNAcentral is "bacterial SSU rRNA". It matches the Rfam family "Bacterial small subunit ribosomal RNA", at positions 37 to 731 of the family's 1533-position model. Lineage: Bacteria; Pseudomonadati; Pseudomonadota; Alphaproteobacteria; Rhodospirillales; Rhodospirillaceae. The record is from RNAcentral.
UGGCGGCGGCCUAACACAUGCAAGUCGUACGAGAAGGUUCCUUCGGGAACUGGAGAGUGGCGCACGGGUGAGUAACGCGUGGGGACCUACCUCUUAGUGGGGGAUAACGGUUGGAAACGACCGCUAAUACCGCAUACGCCCUUCGGGGGAAAGAUUUAUCGCUAAGAGAUGGACCCGCGUUGGAUUAGAUAGUUGGUGAGGUAACGGCUCACCAAGUCAGCGAUCCAUAGCUGGUUUGAGAGGAUGAUCAGCCACACUGGGACUGAGACACGGCCCAGACUCCUACGGGAGGCAGCAGUGGGGAAUAUUGGACAAUGGGCGCAAGCCUGAUCCAGCCAUGCCGCGUGAGUGAAGAAGGCCUUCGGGUUGUAAAGCUCUUUCAGAUGCGAAGAUGAUGACGGUAACAUCAGAAGAAGCCCCGGCUAAUUUCGUGCCAGCAGCCGCGGUAAUACGAAAGGGGCAAGCGUUGUUCGGAUUUACUGGGCGUAAAGGGCACGCAGGCGGUCUUGCCAGUCAGGGGUGAAAGCCCGGGGCUCAACCCCGGAACUGCCUCUGAUACUGCAGGACUAGAGACUAGGAGAGGGUGGUGGAAUUCCCAGUGUAGAGGUGAAAUUCGUAGAUAUUGGGAGGAACACCAGAGGCGAAGGCGGCCACCUG